RNAcentral lists this ribosomal RNA (1028 nucleotides) under Pleosporales sp. RNAcentral's name for it is "SSU rRNA". It matches the Rfam family "Eukaryotic small subunit ribosomal RNA", at positions 72 to 1108 of the family's 1831-position model. The record is from RNAcentral. Lineage: Eukaryota; Fungi; Ascomycota; Dothideomycetes; Pleosporales.
CAUUAUACCGUGAAACUGCGAAUGGCUCAUUAAAUCAGUUAUCGUUUAUUUGAUAGUACCUUACUACUUGGAUAACCGUGGUAAUUCUAGAGCUAAUACAUGCUGAAAACCCCAACUUCGGGAGGGGUGUAUUUAUUAGAUAAAAAACCAACGCCCUUCGGGGCUUCUUGGUGAUUCAUGAUAACUUCACGGAUCGCAUGGCCUUGCGCCGGCGACGGUUCAUUCAAAUUUCUGCCCUAUCAACUUUCGAUGGUAAGGUAUUGGCUUACCAUGGUUUCAACGGGUAACGGGGAAUUAGGGUUCGAUUCCGGAGAGGGAGCCUGAGAAACGGCUACCACAUCCAAGGAAGGCAGCAGGCGCGCAAAUUACCCAAUCCCGACACGGGGAGGUAGUGACAAUAAAUACUGAUACAGGGCUCUUUUGGGUCUUGUAAUUGGAAUGAGUACAAUUUAAACCUCUUAACGAGGAACAAUUGGAGGGCAAGUCUGGUGCCAGCAGCCGCGGUAAUUCCAGCUCCAAUAGCGUAUAUUAAAGUUGUUGCAGUUAAAAAGCUCGUAGUUGAAACUUGGGCCUGGCUGGCAGGUCCGCCUCACCGCGUGUACUUGUCCGGCCGGGCCUUUCCUUCUGGAGAACCUCAUGCCCUUCACUGGGUGUGUUGGGGAACCAGGACUUUUACUUUGAAAAAAUUAGAGUGUUCAAAGCAGGCCUUUGCUCGAAUACGUUAGCAUGGAAUAAUAGAAUAGGACGUGCGGUCCUAUUUUGUUGGUUUCUAGGACCGCCGUAAUGAUUAAUAGGGACAGUCGGGGGCAUCAGUAUUCAAUUGUCAGAGGUGAAAUUCUUGGAUUUAUUGAAGACUAACUACUGCGAAAGCAUUUGCCAAGGAUGUUUUCAUUAAUCAGUGAACGAAAGUUAGGGGAUCGAAGACGAUCAGAUACCGUCGUAGUCUUAACCGUAAACUAUGCCGACUAGGGAUCGGGCGAUGUUCUUUUUCUGACUCGCUCGGCACCUUACGAGAAAUCAAAGUUUUU